RNAcentral lists this ribosomal RNA (474 nucleotides) under uncultured bacterium. RNAcentral describes it as "bacterial SSU rRNA". It matches the Rfam family "Bacterial small subunit ribosomal RNA", at positions 8 to 474 of the family's 1533-position model. The record is from RNAcentral.
AGAGUUUGAUCAUGGCUCAGAUUGAACGCUGGCGGCAUGCUUAAUACAUGCAAGUCGAACGGUAACAGAUUCUUCGGAAUGCUGACGAGUGGCGGACGGGGGAGUAAUACAUAGGAAUCUGCCCAUGUAGUGGGGGACAACUUGGGGAAACUCAAGCUAAUACCGCAUAAUUCCUACGGGAUAAAGAGGGCCACUGCUUGCAAGCUCUUGCUACUGGAUGAGCCUAUGUCGGAUUAGUUAGUUGGUAAGGUAAUGGCUUACCAAGACAGCGAUCCGUAGCUGGUUUGAGAGGAUGAUCAGCCACACUGGGACUGAGACACGGCCCAGACUCCUACGGGAGGCAGCAGUAGGGAGUAUUGGACAAUGGGCGCAAGCCUGAUCCAGCAAUGCCGCGUGUGUGAAGAAGGCCUGCGGGUUGUAAAGCACUUUCAAUUGGGAAGAAAGAUUAUGAGUUAAUACCUUAUAAUAUUGACG